RNAcentral lists this ribosomal RNA (378 nucleotides) under uncultured eukaryote. Its description in RNAcentral is "partial 18S ribosomal RNA". It matches the Rfam family "Eukaryotic small subunit ribosomal RNA", at positions 592 to 976 of the family's 1831-position model. The record is from RNAcentral.
CAAUAGCGUAUAUUAAAGUUGUUGCAGUUAAAAAGCUCGUAGUUGGAUUUCGGGACGGGCCAGUUGGUCCGCCGCAAGGUGUGUUACUGACUGGUCUGUUCUUCUUCGCAAAGACUGCGUGUGCUCUUCGUUGAGUGUGCGUAGGAUUUACGACGUUUACUUUGAAAAAAUUAGAGUGUUCAAAGCAGGCUAUCGCUUGAAUACAUGAGCAUGGAAUAAUGGAAUAGGACUCUGGUCCUAUUUUGUUGGUUUCUAGGACCGAAGUAAUGAUUAAGAGGGACAAUUGGGGGCAUCCGUAUUUCGUUGUCAGAGGUGAAAUUCUUGGAUUUACGAAAGACGAACAACUGCGAAAGCACUUGCCAAGAGUGUUUUCAUUAA